RNAcentral lists this ribosomal RNA (465 nucleotides) under Vreelandella stevensii. RNAcentral's name for it is "partial 16S ribosomal RNA". It matches the Rfam family "Bacterial small subunit ribosomal RNA", at positions 338 to 795 of the family's 1533-position model. The record is from RNAcentral. Lineage: Bacteria; Pseudomonadati; Pseudomonadota; Gammaproteobacteria; Oceanospirillales; Halomonadaceae.
CCUACGGGAGGCAGCAGUGGGGAAUAUUGGACAAUGGGCGAAAGCCUGAUCCAGCCAUGCCGCGUGUGUGAAGAAGGCCUUCGGGUUGUAAAGCACUUUCAGUGGGGAAGAAAGCCUUGGGGCUAAUACCCUCGAGGAAGGACAUCACCCACAGAAGAAGCACCGGCUAACUCCGUGCCAGCAGCCGCGGUAAUACGGAGGGUGCGAGCGUUAAUCGGAAUUACUGGGCGUAAAGCGCGCGUAGGCGGUCUGAUAAGCCGGUUGUGAAAGCCCCGGGCUCAACCUGGGAACGGCAUCCGGAACUGUCAGGCUAGAGUGCAGGAGAGGAAGGUAGAAUUCCCGGUGUAGUGGUGAAAUGCGUAGAGAUCGGGAGGAAUACCAGUGGCGAAGGCGGCCUUCUGGACUGACACUGACGCUGAGGUGCGAAAGCGUGGGUAGCAAACAGGAUUAGAUACCCGGGUAGUC